AACGAACGCUGGCGGCAUGCCUAACACAUGCAAGUCGAACGAGACCUUCGGGUCUAGUGGCGCACGGGUGCGUACCGCGUGGGAACCUGCCCUUAGGUUCGGAAUAACUCCCCGAAAGGGGUGCUAAAACCGGAUAAUGUCUUCGGACCAAAGAUUUAUCGCCUUUGGAUGGGCCCGCGUUGGAUUAGCUAGUUGGUAGGGUAAAAGCCUACCAAGGCGACGAUCCAUAGCUGGUCUGAGAGGCUGAUCAGCCACACUGGGACUGAGACACGGCCCAGACGCGUACGAGAGGCAGCAGUGGGGGAUAAAGGACAGGGGGCGAAAGGCUGAUCCAGCAAUGCCGCGUGAGUGAUGAAGGCCUUAGGGUUGUAAAGCUCUUUUACCCGAGAUGAUAAUGACAGUACCGGGAGAAGAAGCACCGGCUAACUCCGUG
Molecule: ribosomal RNA, 433 nt
Filed under: uncultured bacterium
Lineage: Bacteria
Description: partial 16S ribosomal RNA
Rfam family: Bacterial small subunit ribosomal RNA
Source: RNAcentral